UUGCCCACUCGAGGUUGAUAAUGCCUUGAGUGGCCAUUAUGGAGGGGUAGAGCAUCCUUCUCUCUUAAAAACCUGAGUCAGGGUUCUCGUCCCUGCCUCCGGACCUGUCGGGAGGAACAUUA
This is a small nucleolar RNA of Salarias fasciatus (jewelled blenny), 122 nucleotides long. NCBI's taxonomy places the organism in Eukaryota, Metazoa, Chordata, Actinopteri, Blenniiformes, Blenniidae. The record is from Ensembl.